Molecule: ribosomal RNA, 253 nt
Filed under: uncultured bacterium
Lineage: Bacteria
Description: partial 16S ribosomal RNA
Rfam family: Bacterial small subunit ribosomal RNA
Source: RNAcentral
UACGGAGGGUGCAAGCGUUGUCCGGAAUCACUGGGCGUAAAGGGCGCGUAGGCGGCUCAUGAAGGCUGUGGUGAAAGUCCGGGGCUCAACCUCGGAUCGGCCGUGGCGACUCGUGGGCUGGAGCACUGUAGAGGCGGGUGGAAUUCCGGGUGUAGCGGUGGAAUGCGUAGAGAUCCGGAAGAACACCAGUGGCGAAGGCGGCCCGCUGGGCAGUGGCUGACGCUGAGACGCGACAGCGUGGGGAGCAAACAGG